UACGAAGGGGGCUAGCGUUGUUCGGAAUUACUGGGCGUAAAGCGCACGUAGGCGGACUUUUAAGUCAGGGGUGAAAUCCCGGGGCUCAACCUCGGAACUGCCUUUGAUACUGGAAGUCUUGAGUAUGGAAGAGGUAAGUGGAAUUGCGAGUGUAGAGGUGAAAUUCGUAGAUAUUCGCAGGAACACCAGUGGCGAAGGCGGCUUACUGGCCCGAUACUGACGCUGAGGCACGAAAGCGUGGGGAGCAAACAGG
RNAcentral lists this ribosomal RNA (253 nucleotides) under uncultured prokaryote. Its description in RNAcentral is "partial 16S ribosomal RNA". It matches the Rfam family "Bacterial small subunit ribosomal RNA", at positions 524 to 776 of the family's 1533-position model. The record is from RNAcentral.